CGGGCUUACACAUGCAGUCGAGCGGGGUGAUGGUGCUUGCACUAUCACUUAGCGGCGGACGGGUGAGUAAUGGUUAGGAAUCUGCCUAUUAGUGGGGGACAACAUCUCGAAAGGGAUGCUAAUACCGCAUACGUCCUACGGGAGAAAGCAGGGGAUCACUUGUGACCUUGCGCUAAUAGAUGAGCCUAAGUCGGAUUAGCUAGUUGGUGGGGUAAAGGCCUACCAAGGCGACGAUCUGUAGCGGGUCUGAGAGGAUGAUCCGCCACACUGGGACUGAGACACGGCCCAGACUCCUACGGGAGGCAGCAGUGGGGAAUAUUGGACAAUGGGGGGAACCCUGAUCCAGCCAUGCCGCGUGUGUGAAGAAGGCCUUAUGGUUGUAAAGCACUUUAAGCGAGGAGGAGGCUCUUUUGGUUAAUACCCAAGAUGAGUGGACGUUACUCGCAGAAUAAGCACCGGCUAACUCUGUGCCAGCAGCCGCGGUAAUACAGAGGGUGCAAGCGUUAAUCGGAUUUACUGGGCGUAAAGCGCGCGUAGGCGGCCAAUUAAGUCAAAUGUGAAAUCCCCGAGCUUAACUUGGGAAUUGCAUUCGAUACUGGUUGGCUAGAGUGUGGGAGAGGAUGGUAGAAUUCCAGGUGUAGCGGUGAAAUGCGUAGAGAUCUGGAGGAAUACCGAUGGCGAAGGCAGCCAUCUGGCCUAACACUGACGCUGAGGUGC
RNAcentral lists this ribosomal RNA (717 nucleotides) under Acinetobacter baylyi. Its description in RNAcentral is "bacterial SSU rRNA". It matches the Rfam family "Bacterial small subunit ribosomal RNA", at positions 43 to 754 of the family's 1533-position model. The record is from RNAcentral. Lineage: Bacteria; Pseudomonadati; Pseudomonadota; Gammaproteobacteria; Moraxellales; Moraxellaceae.